Molecule: ribosomal RNA, 413 nt
Filed under: Levinsenia sp. 336 PB
Lineage: Eukaryota; Metazoa; Annelida; Polychaeta; Paraonidae
Description: partial 16S ribosomal RNA
Rfam family: Bacterial large subunit ribosomal RNA
Source: RNAcentral
GCAUAAUCCCCUGCCUUUUAAUUGAAGGCCAGUAUGAAUGGACAAACGAAAAUAAAGCUGUUUCUAUAUACCCCAUAAAAUUUUAUCUUUAGGUGAAAAAGCCUAAAUUAGCUUAAAAGACAAAAAGACCCCGUAGAGCCUAAUUUAAUAUGGCCCCCAAAACAACCCCGUUACACCCUGCCACUAAAAUCCAGAUGGGGCAUCUAAGGACCCGCAAAAUCGUCCUUUAUACAAUAAAAUACACAUAUUUUGAGCCAUUACAAUGACAAUAGAACACGGCUACCUCGGGGAUAACAGACUAAUCUUCCUUGAGAGCCCAAAUUGACAGGAAGGCUUGGCACCUCGAUGUUGGCUUAGGACCCCUGGGAGUGCAGCCGCCCCCAAUGGCAGGUUUGUUCAACCUUUAAAAUCCU